RNAcentral lists this long non-coding RNA (824 nucleotides) under Equus asinus (donkey). RNAcentral describes it as "lncRNA (ENSEASG00005025668.1)". Lineage: Eukaryota; Metazoa; Chordata; Mammalia; Perissodactyla; Equidae. The record is from RNAcentral.
UCAUAGAUGUGAUCAUGACUGCUGCAUGGAUUCCAGCCACUGUCAAGCGUGUUCUAGGAAAUUGAGGCAGUUCUGCUCAGAAGCUUCCAUCUUUGCACCUUAAGUCCAAAAGCAACUCUUAAUGUGAGGCCUUGUGAAAUCUCAUAUAGCUUAGCAUCAUCAUGUCCCUGAGCCUAUCCAUUCUUGAAAUGUCUCUGGGAUAUAGUCUAACCACUACUGAAAGUCUUUUUUCUGGACCAUUAUGUCUCACAAAUAUUAUGUCUCACAAAUUUCUGAUGGCAGUUAGCUCAUAUCAGAGGUUCUAAAGACUGCUGAACAGUACCACUUGGCAUCAGGGAUACCACGUGUGUCCACAUCUGUAGUGGAAGUGGAGUCAGCCAUACCCAACCAUAUCAAAUGGGUUCUCCAAAGGAAAGCAGAUUUUGUUACCAGAAAGAGGAAAAUUUGCCGAGCGACCCCCAACAGAGAUACCCUUCCACCAUGGCAAUCUCUGCGUAUAUCUGGAUUUCCUCACAUAUUCCCCAAGGCAACAUCAGUUGUGAAAUACCAGAAUGGAUACAGCAGACAUCUCUCUUCUGAACACCAAGCGCAGAAUCUGAUGCACGGCGCUAAUGGUGAUAGGAUGCUGCAUCUCACAAAGACGAGGGAACAUAUCGAAAUUUUCAGAUCCACAGCUUCUGGGGCUCUCGCGUUGAACCGUGAUUGGAGCUUUGCAGACUUAAAAGAUUAAAAAAAUGAUGAUCUCCAUGCAUAAAUAAAAAUAACUGAAGUAGAACCCCAAGUAAGUACCUAUAAAGUGGACUUGAAAAUAUUAAUUAAAAAAU